Long non-coding RNA from Oreochromis aureus, 307 nucleotides. RefSeq lists it as uncharacterized. The record is from RefSeq and is a predicted model, not a curated record. Lineage: Eukaryota; Metazoa; Chordata; Actinopteri; Cichliformes; Cichlidae. The transcript has 3 exons.
CUUUGUCUUUUGUUACACAGAGUGAACAGAUCUUUGGUUUUGCCUUUGCUGACUGCUGAUCUGAUCGUCUCAAGUCUGGUGACCUGCUGCAGAAGAUCCUCUCUCUCUAUCAUUAUAAGCAAUUCUGUCUAUCCUAUCACUCUCCCGACUCUAUCUAAUUUGACAGCCAUUCCAUCUUGUAUCCCUCUAUCCUCUACUGCUCUAUCUAAUUUGACAGCCAUUCCAUCUUGUAUCCCUCUAUCCUCUACUGCUCUAUCUAAUUUGACAGCCAUUCUAUCUUGUAUCCCUCUAUCCUCUACUGCUCUAU